RNAcentral lists this long non-coding RNA (213 nucleotides) under Amborella trichopoda. RNAcentral's name for it is "long non-coding RNA (ATRI_LNC004832)". Lineage: Eukaryota; Viridiplantae; Streptophyta; Magnoliopsida; Amborellales; Amborellaceae. The record is from RNAcentral.
GGGCAAGAGAAACUGUGAAAAAUGAACUCCAUAAUUCCGCUUAUUAUUUAUGCAAUUCAUCCACAUCAAUUCAUCUAUCGAAAUGGAAAAGAAAAGAAAGAAACCCAAAAAUAUAAUUUAUUAACAUACAUGCUGUCGACUCGAUACUUUUACAUAUUCAAAACAAAAGGAACCACAUGCAAUAAUCAAAACAGCAAUACAAAAAACCCCACA